ACCUGUCUCAACUUUAUAUAUUGAACUUAACUUUUAAGUGAAAAGGCUUAAAUAUACUUGAAGGACGACAAGACCCUAUAAAACUUUACAUACCGUCUGAGUGACUUCUUAAUUAUUUGUAUAAAAUUAUUCACUCUUACAUGUGUUUCGUUGGGGCAACGAAAGUAUAAUCCAUAACUGCUUUCUAAUUAAACAAUAAUAUUUGAAAUAAUUGACCCUUUUUUAAGAUUAUAAGAAAAAGUUACUUUAGGGAUAACAGCGUAAUUUUUUUUGAGAGUCCUUAUCGACAAAAAAGUUUGCGACCUCGAUGUUGAAUUAAAUUUUUCCUUAUAGUGCAGAAAUUAUAAAGGUAGGUCUGUUCGACCUUUAAAAAUUUACGUGAUCUGAGUUCACACCGGA
RNAcentral lists this ribosomal RNA (399 nucleotides) under Callianassa sp. PRT-2009. Its description in RNAcentral is "partial 16S ribosomal RNA". It matches the Rfam family "Bacterial large subunit ribosomal RNA", at positions 2048 to 2620 of the family's 2925-position model. Lineage: Eukaryota; Metazoa; Arthropoda; Malacostraca; Decapoda; Callianassidae. The record is from RNAcentral.